AAUGACACGACAUUGCUCACAUUGCUUCCAGUGUAAUUUAGCUUUACGGCAAAGUGAUAUUUUU
This 64-nucleotide non-coding RNA is filed under the name Vibrio nigripulchritudo. Lineage: Bacteria; Pseudomonadati; Pseudomonadota; Gammaproteobacteria; Vibrionales; Vibrionaceae. The record is from RNAcentral.